Molecule: ribosomal RNA, 465 nt
Filed under: uncultured bacterium
Lineage: Bacteria
Description: partial 16S ribosomal RNA
Rfam family: Bacterial small subunit ribosomal RNA
Source: RNAcentral
CUACGGGUGGCUCCAGUGGGGAAUAUUGGACAAUGGGGGAAACCCUGAUCCAGCAAUGCCGCGUGUGUGAAGAAGGCCUGCGGGUUGUAAAGCACUUUCGGUUGGGAGGACUGCUUCUAGCACUAAUAUUGUUGGAAGUUGACGUUACCUUCAGAAGAAGCACCGGCUAACUCCGUGCCAGCAGCCGCGGUAAUGCGGAGGGUGCAAGCGUUAAUCGGAAUUACUGGGCCUAAAGCGCGCGUAGGCGGCUAGAUCAGUCGGGUGUGAAAGCCCCGGGCUUAACCUGGGAACUGCAUCCGAUACUGUCUAGCUUGAGUACAGGAGAGGAGAGUGGAAUUCCACAUGUAGCGGUGAAAUGCGUAGAUAUGUGGAGGAACACCAAUGGCGAAGGCAGCUCUCUGGCCUGAUACUGACGCUGAGGUGCGAAAGCGUGGGGAGCAAACAGGAUUAGAUACCCCAGUAGUC